UCCGUGCACGGCCCUCACUGGCUCCUGAAUGUGCAGGACAGUGUCACAGUGUGUGUGGGGGGGGGUGCUCCCUAGAAGCCAGAGCUGGCAGAGGCCUCCCAGACUGAGCCAGCCGCCUUCUUUCACCACCACCCAAAGGCCCUGCAGCUUGGCCAUGGCCAUCCUGGGUGUGGGAACCUUCAGAACAAGGGGUCCUGUCCUUGUCCAGUGACUCAGGUCGAUUCUGGCUCUUCUGCCUCACACAUCUGUACACAACUCUCAAGCACAGAGCCACACCUAGGGAACUUGUGGAAGGCAGUAUCCCCUGUACGGUCACCCCUCCUCACUCCUGAGUCUUGGAAUGGUCAGGAGUCACCCAGUCUGACUGCACCCACCCCAGCGGGCUCCAGGGGGCAGCCUGGCCUGGGCUGCACACAGUCACCCACCUGCACCCACCUCCCAAGCAGAUCCUCUGCCCUGGCCACGUUCAUCCCCACCUGCCCCUGGUCCAGCCUCCCCUGACCCUCAGUGCUCAGAAGCACCCCACCCAGGCCUGGGGCUCUCCAGCCUUCCUAGGAGGAGGCUCUCACAUGAGGGUGUGGCUGAUUCUACUCAGGUUUCUACAAACCAAACACCCCCAAACUGGAGCGAUUCCAGCAACACCUGGGGCUCAUUGUGCAUCGCGUGCUCCCCUCCCUGGAGAAACACCUGGAGAAGGAGGGUGUGUGCCUGGAGGACUCCACCACCCACUGGUACAUCCAGUGCUUCCUGGAUGGGGUGCCAUUCCACCUGGCUCUGAGAAUAUGGGAUAUAUACAUCCUGGAGGGCGAGCACGUGCUCCCAGCCAUGGCAUACACGGCCCUCAAGAUCCAUAACAAGCGCCUGCUGAAGAUGCCCCGGGACCACCUCCGGGAGUUCCUGCAGGUGACCCUGAAGCAGGCCUGGUCUCUGAGCGAGGACGCGGUCAUCAGGCAGCUGCGGGCCUCCAUGCGUGAGCUGGGGAAGCUCCAGUGCCUCCUGCCUCCCGAAGCCAAGGCCAUCGAACAGUGCAGCAGGCCCCUGGGGCAGGCACGCGUCCCCCAGAUGCACGUUCCUGCCCCCACUGCUCCGAAGGCCAGAAUCACCAUUCAGGACACAGUGGCAGUGUGGGAGCAGACCAGGGGUCCCGCUACUCGUGCAGUGAUGAUCCGUCCUCCAGGAAGCUUUGGCCUCCGCAUCGCCGAGAGGGAAGGCGUGGAGGAGGAGGAGAGCUGGGAAGGCAGCCCAGAGCCCCUCGGCCUGGGCUCCCCUGUGGGGACCGCAGAGUCUCCAGGUUCUGCCAGCCCCACGGAGUCUCCAAAGUGCUCGAGGUGGGGAGGCCUGUGCCAGUGCGCCAGUCUCCCUAACCUGAGCGGGCCAGAGCACAGGGAGGACGACUCCUCCGACGCUGGCAGCCGGGAGGGCCUGUGGAUGUGGGCUCCUCCACAGGCCUCAGAGCCCCCAGAACCAGGGCCCAUGCAGGCUGUCCCCACCUGGGGGCCACGGCUGAAGACUUCCCCCUACUGGCAUGGCAGCCCCACGCACUCUGGGGACAGUCACGGGCUGGAGCCGGCCAGAGCCAGCCCUGGGCUGGGAGACCAGGCCCGCGUGCCCUCCCUGGCCAGAGGCCUCCUUACCUCUUAUUCAACGGGGCACCUGGAUGAUGGGUGCCUCCUAGAAGAGAGGCCGAGUCCAGCAUCUGUCCUGCCCAGGCUGGGCAGCAGCCUUCCGUGUGUCUUCACGGCAUCCUAUGCACUUGGUUGAGCCCCCACCGCCCAGGCUCUUCCUGGGGCCAGGACACCCUGACACUGGAAGACAACAGCCAUGCCAGGAGCCACUGUACUCUCCUCCCCGCCCCCCUCCCCCACCGCCACCCUCAGGUGGUGCUGAGUCUGUAUUAAAUUGUUCCAUGGAAAGGAGUUUGCUCCAGUUUGUGACCCCGGCGCCCAGCGGCAGCAAGCUUCCCCGUGUUCCUGGGGAGAUGGGCAGCUCCACAGCCCCCAGCCCCAGGCAGAGACCCACUCAGGACCCUGCAGGCAAUGCCUGAGAUUCAGCUGUGCCCUGUGGGAACUGGGUCAGGGUGGGAGAGCAGCAGCUGUGAGUGCCCGUGACCUCUGGGACAGAUCAGCACAAUAGGAACAGCCGUGGUUGGAGGGCCUGUGUCACCUCUGUGCUCUCCCCUAGACCUGGGCGGCUGUGGCUGCAGCAUCCCUGGCUUGACCCCGCAUGUCUCUCACAGGUAUGGGAUACCUGUUGCAGACUGUAUGUUCCAGGACCUCAGGAAGGAAUUAAAUUCCUGUGGUGUAUACACUGUCCCGUUAUCAGGCUUUAUGUCCAGGGGACACCGAGGACCAGCAGGGCUGACUUAACCACCUUUAUCACAUUUCUAGCCUUUUCUCCGGAUUGGGCUGCUGCAAAUACAGCCUUUGAAUACGUAUCUCCCACCACAUGGACAAACUUAAGUUGACCAAAGGAGUUAAUGUGGGUGACGUCCACUUGCCAGAGCUUCUUAGGAGCAAGCCUCACGGGUUCACUCCUGCUUGUAGCAGUGUCCUGACGGGGCGAGGGGGCACAAUUCUUGCAAGAGUGCACUAGGUGUUUGCAUUGGCUCAUUGUUAGCU
This is a long non-coding RNA of Oryctolagus cuniculus (rabbit), 2618 nucleotides long. Lineage: Eukaryota; Metazoa; Chordata; Mammalia; Lagomorpha; Leporidae. The record is from Ensembl.